AUUGAACGCUGGCGGCGUGCCUAACACAUGCAAGUCGAGCGGUAACAGGUGUAGCAAUACAUGCUGACGAGCGGCGAACGGGUGAGUAAUGCUUCGGAAUCUGCCCAUGUAGUGGGGAAUAACCAGCCGAAAGGUUGGCUAAUACCGCAUACGACCUACGGGUGAAAGCAGGGGAUCGCAAGACCUUGCGCUAUUGGAUGAGCCGAAGUCGGAUAGCUUGUUGGUAGGGUAACGGCCUACCAAGGCGACGAUCCGUAGCUGGUCUGAGAGGACGACCAGCCACACUGGGACUGAGACACGGCCCAGACUCCUACGGGAGGCAGCAGUGGGGAAUUUUGCGCAAUGGGCUAACGCCUGACGCAGCAACGCCGCGUGGAGGAUGAAGGUCUUUGGAUUGUAAACUCCUGUCAGCAGGGAAAAGCAACUCGGCCUCAUACGCCGGGAAGUUGAUUGUACCUGCAGAGGAAGCCCCGGCUAACUC
RNAcentral lists this ribosomal RNA (481 nucleotides) under uncultured bacterium. RNAcentral's name for it is "bacterial SSU rRNA". It matches the Rfam family "Bacterial small subunit ribosomal RNA", at positions 30 to 503 of the family's 1533-position model. The record is from RNAcentral.